Camellia sinensis is the source of this 219-nucleotide non-coding RNA. The record is from RefSeq and is a predicted model, not a curated record. NCBI's taxonomy places the organism in Eukaryota, Viridiplantae, Streptophyta, Magnoliopsida, Ericales, Theaceae.
GUGUGUUGGACUGUGGAUGAAAAGGACAUCGCAGAGCAUCUUAGGAUAAGGUUGAAGAAAGAACAAGAAGCAAAAGAGGACAAAAGAAGAUACAAAGCUCAGGCUCACCUUCAUACUAUUAUCAAGGUUGCACGUGAUGAAGACCUAGUAGAACAGAUUGGAAAGGAUAUUUAUUUUGAUCUUGUGGGUCAUGAAAGGGUUCAUAGUUUUUGUAUUCAG